AUACGGAGGGUCCAAGCGUUAUCCGGAAUCAUUGGGUUUAAAGGGUUCGUAGGCGGGUCAAUAAGUCAGAGGUGAAAUCUUGCAGCUUAACUGUAAAAUUGCCUUUGAAACUGUUGACCUUGAAUUACUGUGAAGUGGUUAGAAUAUGUAGUGUAGCGGUGAAAUGCUUAGAGAUUACAUAGAAUACCGAUUGCGAAGGCAGAUCACUAACAGUAUAUUGACGCUGAUGAACCAAAGCGUGGGUAGCGAACGGGAUUAGAAACCCCAGUAGUCC
Molecule: ribosomal RNA, 274 nt
Filed under: uncultured bacterium
Lineage: Bacteria
Description: partial 16S ribosomal RNA
Rfam family: Bacterial small subunit ribosomal RNA
Source: RNAcentral